RNAcentral lists this ribosomal RNA (583 nucleotides) under uncultured bacterium. RNAcentral describes it as "partial 16S ribosomal RNA". It matches the Rfam family "Bacterial small subunit ribosomal RNA", at positions 355 to 922 of the family's 1533-position model. The record is from RNAcentral.
UGGGGAAUUUUGGACAAUGGGCGCAAGCCUGAUCCAGCCAUGCCGCGUGCGGGAAGAAGGCCUUCGGGUUGUAAACCGCUUUUGUCAGGGAAGAAAUCUUCUGAGUUAAUACCUCGGGAGGAUGACGGUACCUGAAGAAUAAGCACCGGCUAACUACGUGCCAGCAGCCGCGGUAAUACGUAGGGUGCAGCGUUAAUCGGAAUUACUGGGCGUAAAGCGUGCGCAGGCGGUUUUGUAAGACAGAGGUGAAAUCCCCGGGCUCAACCUGGGAACUGCCUUUGUGACUGCAAGGCUUGAGUGCGGCAGAGGGGGGAUGGAAUUCCGCGUGUAGCAGUGAAAUGCGUAGAUAUGCGGAGGAAACACCGAUGGCGAAGGCAAUCCCCUGGGCCUGCACUGACGCUCAUGCACGAAAAGCGUGGGGAGCAAAACAGGAUUAGAUACCCUGGUAGUCCACGCCCUAAAAACGAUGUCAACUGGUUGUUGGGAAGGUUCCUUCUCAGUAACGUAGCUAACGCGUGAAAGUUGACCGCCUGGGGGAGUACGGCCGCAAGGUUGAAAACUUAAAAUGAAUUGACGGGGUCAU